AGUCGAACGGAGCUUAGAGAGCUUGCUUUUUAAGCUUAGUGGCGAACGGGUGAGUAACGCGUGAGUAACCUGCCCUAGAGUGGGGGACAACAGUUGGAAACGACUGCUAAUACCGCAUAAGCCCACGGUACCGCAUGGUACUGAGGGAAAAGGAUUUAUUCGCUUUAGGAUGGACUCGCGUCCAAUUAGCUAGUUGGUGAGGUAACGGCCCACCAAGGCGACGAUUGGUAGCCGGACUGAGAGGUUGAACGGCCACAUUGGGACUGAGACACGGCCCAGACUCCUACGGGAGGCAGCAGUGGGGGAUAUUGCACAAUGGGGGAAACCCUGAUGCAGCGACGCCGCGUGGAGGAAGAAGGUUUUCGGAUUGUAAACUCCUGUCGUUAGGGACGAUAAUGACGGUACCUAACAAGAAAGCACCGGCUAACUACGUGCCAGCAGCCGCGGUAAAACGUAGGGUGCAAGCGUUGUCCGGAAUUACUGGGUGUAAAGGGAGCGCAGGCGGGAAGACAAGUUGGAAGUGAAAACCAUGGGCUCAACCCAUGAAUUGCUUUCAAAACUGUUUUUCUUGAGUAGUGCAGAGGUAGAUGGAAUUCCCGGUGUAGCGGUGGAAUGCGUAGAUAUCGGGAGGAACACCAGUGGCGAAGGCGGUCUACUGGGCACCAACUGACGCUGAGGCUCGAAAGCAUGGGUAGCAAACAGGAUUAGAUACCCUGGUAGUCCAUGCCGUAAACGAUGAUUACUAGGUGUUGGGGGAUUGACCCCCUCAGUGCCGCAGUUAACACAAUAAGUAAUCCACCUGGGGAGUACGACCGCAAGGUUGAAACUCAA
Molecule: ribosomal RNA, 831 nt
Filed under: uncultured bacterium
Lineage: Bacteria
Description: bacterial SSU rRNA
Rfam family: Bacterial small subunit ribosomal RNA
Source: RNAcentral